GGGAGUGGAUGGGGCCUGGUGGCUCUCCUGGUCUUCAAAACCUGUGUGACGUGUUAAUAGCGCGUCGGGUGAGUUCGAUUCUCACACACUCCCGCCA
RNAcentral lists this transfer RNA (97 nucleotides) under Armatimonadota bacterium. RNAcentral's name for it is "tRNA-Sec". It matches the Rfam family "Selenocysteine transfer RNA". Lineage: Bacteria; Bacillati; Armatimonadota. The record is from RNAcentral.